ACUAAUUUAAUAAUAACUUUUCGUAUAAUCUCAAGAAUUGGCUUGAGAGUCUCUACUCGAUCACCGUAAAUGAUCAGGCUACGAAACAGUGGAAGAGUUGC
This 101-nucleotide non-coding RNA is filed under the name Paenibacillus sp. Its description in RNAcentral is "Guanine sequence". It matches the Rfam family "Purine riboswitch aptamer". Rfam says of the family: Riboswitches are metabolite binding domains within certain messenger RNAs that serve as precision sensors for their corresponding targets. Allosteric rearrangement of mRNA structure is mediated by ligand binding, and this results in modulation of gene expression. A class of riboswitches that selectively recognises guanine and becomes saturated at concentrations as low as 5 nM. The record is from RNAcentral. Lineage: Bacteria; Bacillati; Bacillota; Bacilli; Caryophanales; Paenibacillaceae.